Molecule: RNase P RNA, 357 nt
Filed under: human gut metagenome
Description: Bacterial RNase P class A
Rfam family: Bacterial RNase P class A
About the family: Ribonuclease P (RNase P) is a ubiquitous endoribonuclease, found in archaea, bacteria and eukarya as well as chloroplasts and mitochondria.
Source: RNAcentral
AUUGAAUAGUUGCUGGUAAAUUUCGAAAGGAAUUACGAGAGGAAAGUCCGGGCUCCAUAGAGCAAAGAUGCUAGAUAACGUCUAGUGAGGGAAACCUUAAGGAAAGUGCAACAGAAAAUAACCGCCUCUUAAUUUAUGGUUAACCACUUAAGAGGUAAGGAUGAAAAGGCGAGGUAAGAGCUCACCGCUGGUAUGGUGACAUACUGGGACAGUGUAAACCCCAUCUGGAGCAACACCUAAGUAGAAGAUUAAGUCUGCUCGGCAACUUCUGAAUUGCGUGGCUUGAGACAUAUAGUGAUAUAUGUACUAGAUAAAUGACUAUUUUAAAUGACAGAACCCGGCUUACAGAUUUACUUA